RNAcentral lists this ribosomal RNA (399 nucleotides) under bacterium enrichment culture clone ALO1_GLFRUDD03HF2KD. RNAcentral describes it as "bacterial SSU rRNA". It matches the Rfam family "Bacterial small subunit ribosomal RNA", at positions 9 to 410 of the family's 1533-position model. The record is from RNAcentral.
GAGUUUGAUCGUGGCUCAGAUUGAACGCUGGCGGCAUGCCUUACACAUGCAAGUCGAACGGCAGCACGGGAGCUUGCUCCUGGUGGCGAGUGGCGAACGGGUGAGUAAUGCAUCGGAACGUAUCCUGGAGUGGGGGAUAACGUAGCGAAAGUUACGCUAAUACCGCAUAUUCUGUGAGCAGGAAAGCGGGGGACCUUCGGGCCUCGCGCUCUUGGAGCGGCCGAUGUCGGAUUAGCUAGUUGGUGAGGUAAAGGCUCACCAAGGCGACGAUCCGUAGCAGGUCUGAGAGGAUGAUCUGCCACACUGGAACUGAGACACGGUCCAGACUCCUACGGGAGGCAGCAGUGGGAAUUUUGGACAAUGGGGCAACCCUGAUCCAGCCAUGCCGCGUGAGUGAAG